UAAUUACAUACAUGUCCUUAAAAACAUAACAACAAAGUUCAACAUUCUUAUUUUAUUCUUGCAAAAGUUCUAAUAUUUUUUCAAAAAUAUCUCCGCCAUUAGGAUCCGUUAGAAAAUUUUAGUUAAUUAAAGGUAAAAUACUUAACCCUUGUUAAUUAAUAAAGUAAAUUGACAUUUUUACCCCCCUUAUAUUAUAUUUUCUUUCUCAAUCAAAGCCCUAGCAAUGAGAACUCUUGUUUUUCUUUCUCUUCCUCUUUCUCUCUCUCCUUCAUGCUAGUUUCUAACCCAUAACUAGAAUUUCUCCAUCCCCCACGGCACAUGUUACUUUCCGCAUAUCGAACGCGUGUUGUUUUUUCAUUCAAUUUUUUCUAUAAACUUUUCUUUUAUUUUGUUCAGAAAAAAGGUCUAGGGGAAAGGAGUGAGAGAAAAUGUUGCAAUAAUAGUCGAUUGGAUAGAAUUUUAAAGAGGAAGAAGAUGAGGAAAAAGAUGACCAUUGAAAAUUUUUUGGAAUGACAUUUUUAUAUGAAUUGACAUUUCACUUAGCUGCUGUUAAAAAAUAAACAUUUUUUUAACGACAACAAACUAGAUGGAUAAAUAUGAAUAUUACCAAACUUUUGUAGGGAUAAAAGUUAAAAGUUGAACUUUAUGUGAAUAUAUUUGUAAUUCGCUAUAUUUACAGGACGCUGUAGCAAUUAACCUGAAAAAAAUUUAGC
RNAcentral lists this long non-coding RNA (713 nucleotides) under Ananas comosus (pineapple). RNAcentral's name for it is "long non-coding RNA (ACOM_LNC031916)". Lineage: Eukaryota; Viridiplantae; Streptophyta; Magnoliopsida; Poales; Bromeliaceae. The record is from RNAcentral.